This 465-nucleotide ribosomal RNA is filed under the name uncultured bacterium. RNAcentral describes it as "partial 16S ribosomal RNA". It matches the Rfam family "Bacterial small subunit ribosomal RNA", at positions 28 to 506 of the family's 1533-position model. The record is from RNAcentral.
GAUGAACGCUGGCGGCGUGCUUAACACAUGCAAGUCGAACGAUGAAGCCCAGCUUGCUGGGUGGAUUAGUGGCGAACGGGUGAGUAACACGUGAGUAACCUGCCCUUAACUCUGGGAUAAGCCUGGGAAACUGGGCCUAAUACCGGAUAGGAGCGUCCACCGCAUGGUGGGUGUUGGAAAGAUUUAUCGGUUUUGGAUGGACUCGCGGCCUAUCAGCUUGUUGGUGAGGGAAUGGCUCACCAAGGCGACGACGGGUAGCCGGCCUGAGAGGGGGACCGGCCACACUGGGACUGGGACACGGCCCAGACUCCUCCGGGCGGCAGCGGUGGGGAAUCUUGCACAAUGGGCGCAGGCCUGGUGCAGCGACGCCGCGUGGGGGAUGACGGCCUUCGGGUUGUAAACCUCUUUCAGUAGGGAAGAAGCGAAAGUGACGGUACCUGCAGAAGAGACACCGGCUAACUACGU